CCUCACUCNGUCGUGAUUACCCGCUGAAUUUAAGCAUAUAACUAAGCGGANGAAAAGAAACUAACGAGGAUUUCCCUAGUAACGGCGAGUGAAAAGGAAAGAGCCCAGCGCUGAAUCUAUCUUGCUGCUAGUGAGAUGGAAAUGUAGCGUAUAGGUGGAACUAUCCGUCGAUUUCCUACACCCAAAGUCCCCUUGAGCGGGGCUACAGUCCAUAGAAGGUGCUAGACCUGUACGGGUGAGGAAAGCGUAUGCGGUAGGUUCUACCUUGGAGUCGGGUUGUUUGAGAUUGCAGCCCAAAGAGGGUGGUAAACCUCAUCUAAGGCUAAAUACGGCCACGAGACCGAUAGCAAACAAGUACCGUGAGGGAAAGUUGCAAAGAACUUUGAAGAGAGAGUUCAAGAGGGCGUGAAACCGCUGGGAUGGAAACGGAUAGAGUUAACGAAACUUGCCGAUAUUCAACCGAUCACCUCGGCAAUCCCGUAACUUUGCACCUUCGAGAGGCUGCGGUGAGAACCGUUCUCCAAUCUCGGGAGGGCAAAGACGUGGGCGAAGGGUGCCGGGUUGAUUGGUGUAUUUAUCGGUGGUAUGCACCGAGAGUCUCGUCUGCUGCGCGUAUUAGGCAUUCGUUCAGUGGACCCCGGCAAUGAUUGUCAGGGAAACCUGGAUGAGUGUGUGAAAAUAUAUGUCGUCGAUGAGAUGUUUGGAACCCGUGCAAGCACCGGUAGUGGCUUCUGCCAUCCGGGCGCAUCCGUUACCACUUGACCGGUGACAUUUUGUUGUGGUCGCGUGCGACCUACGCUGAAUAGAGCAUCGGUGCGUGUUGAAGUGGUAGCAGCAAGAUGCUGGGGUUUGCAUCUCGGUGUGAACGUUAAUCACCUAUCUGACCCGUCUUGAAACACGGACCAAGGAGUCUAGCAUAUGCGCAAGUUAUUGGGUGCCUAAACCCGCUGUUAGAAGCGUAAUGAAAGUGAAGAUUGAUCAUUACGAUAUCAAUUGAUAUGUGAUCCAGGUGUAGAGAUGCGCUUGGCGCAACAUAGCCCCGUCCUUAUUGCAUGCAAUGGGGCGGAGGUAGAGCGUAUAUGCUGGGACCCGAAAGAUGGUGAACUAUACCUGAGCAGGAUGAAGCCAGAG
This 1131-nucleotide ribosomal RNA is filed under the name Ochoterenella sp. 1 SHF-2019. RNAcentral describes it as "partial large subunit ribosomal RNA". It matches the Rfam family "Eukaryotic large subunit ribosomal RNA", at positions 1 to 857 of the family's 3401-position model. The record is from RNAcentral. Lineage: Eukaryota; Metazoa; Nematoda; Chromadorea; Rhabditida; Onchocercidae.